CGGCAGGAGCAAUUCUUGCGACGGUAUUAGACGCAGAGGGUUCCUGACUUUCCUGCUGUUCUCUCCUACUUCAGCAUGAGGGCCGUGGCGUGGCUGUGGCAGACGCUGCUGGCGGCUGUGGUCCUUGCCUUGGUGGUAGGACCUACCUCGGCUGCACCAGAGAUGGGACCUGCCGCCCGUGUGAAGCGCAGUCCCGGUUAUAGUGGAUGCAGUCCCAGAUGGGCGUGUGGUUACGGAUAAAACUUCCUUCUUGCUGGCCUUCCUCAUGAUCGAACGUCACCCGGAAAAGGACUUCUGCAAAGACACACACACACACACACACACACACACACACACACACACACCAAAAGUUAGCUUUAUUUUUUUCGCUGAGUGCCUUUAUAUCUCCUUCUUGCUGCAAUAAAGCCUGCAUAUGUU
Molecule: long non-coding RNA, 417 nt
Organism: Portunus trituberculatus (swimming crab)
Lineage: Eukaryota; Metazoa; Arthropoda; Malacostraca; Decapoda; Portunidae
Exons: 3
Source: RefSeq, a predicted model, not a curated record